Molecule: unclassified non-coding RNA, 390 nt
Filed under: plant metagenome
Description: partial contains 5.8S ribosomal RNA, internal transcribed spacer 2, and large subunit ribosomal RNA
Rfam family: 5.8S ribosomal RNA (bases 1-106)
Source: RNAcentral
CGAAAUGCGAUAAGUAAUGUGAAUUGCAGAAUUCAGUGAAUCAUCGAAUCUUUGAACGCACCUUGCGCCCUUUGGUAUUCCGAGGGGCAUGCCUGUUUGAGUGUCAUUAAAUACCAUCAACCCUCUUUUGACUUCGGUCUCGAGAGUGGCUUGGAAGUGGAGGUCUGCUGGAGCCUAACGGAGCCAGCUCCUCUUAAAUGUAUUAGCGGAUUUCCCUUGCGGGAUCGCGUCUCCGAUGUGAUAAUUUCUACGUCGUUGACCAUCUCGGGGCUGACCUAGUCAGUUUCAAUAGGAGUCUGCUUCUAACCGUCUCUUGACUGAGACUAGCGACUUGUGCGCUAACUUUUGACUUGACCUCAAAUCAGGUAGGACUACCCGCUGAACUUAAGC